UUAACAGCUGACUCCGCCUUUUGGGCGGUG
Molecule: small RNA, 30 nt
Filed under: Bombyx mori (domestic silkworm)
Lineage: Eukaryota; Metazoa; Arthropoda; Insecta; Lepidoptera; Bombycidae
Description: ovarian small RNA-36329
Source: RNAcentral